GGGUGCGUAGCUCAGUUGGUUAGAGCACUACACUGAUAAUGUAGAGGUCGGAAGUUCGAGUCUUCCCGCACCCACCA
This 77-nucleotide transfer RNA is filed under the name Candidatus Andersenbacteria bacterium RIFCSPHIGHO2_02_FULL_46_16. RNAcentral describes it as "tRNA-Ile". It matches the Rfam family "tRNA". Rfam says of the family: Transfer RNA (tRNA) molecules are approximately 80 nucleotides in length. Their secondary structure includes four short double-helical elements and three loops (D, anti-codon, and T loops). Further hydrogen bonds mediate the characteristic L-shaped molecular structure. tRNAs have two regions of fundamental functional importance: the anti-codon, which is responsible for specific mRNA codon recognition, and the 3' end, to which the tRNAs corresponding amino acid is attached (by aminoacyl-tRNA synthetases). tRNAs cope with the degeneracy of the genetic code in two manners: having more than one tRNA (with a specific anti-codon) for a particular amino acid; and 'wobble' base-pairing, i.e. permitting non-standard base-pairing at the 3rd anti-codon position. Lineage: Bacteria; Candidatus Anderseniibacteriota. The record is from RNAcentral. RNAcentral also lists the same sequence under 2 other names.